GUCAGGUGGUAAAUAGGUGAUUAUUAGCGCGAGGACCACGUGAAAUAGAGGGUGGUGCCUUUUUUGUUUUCUCCUUUUAAAAAUUAAAUGCUCACAAGUUCCCUACCUUCUGCGUAAGAAUCACGUUCCUUCAAGUGUACUGUGUACCUUCUUCUUCUUGACAUAUCAACAAGAUUUUCCAAAAGGGUCCAUAUAUACAAAUUGAUUAGCAACAGGACAUCACCUCAAGAUCAUAGCCAGCAAGGUUUGCGCGGAAAUCAAAGGAAGACACCAUCUCAGAUAACAUAUUAAGCAGUAGCUCCUUUCCCUUUGCACAAUUUGCCACAAUUGUGAAAAUCUCCUUGUUAGACAUCCCUCUGGCGUACAAACUCGCUCUGAAGUUAGCAGUCCAUUCUGCAACAGAUUCGAGUCUCUGGAACAUGUGAAGUACUCGAGAACCAAGCGGACUAAUCAAACAGCCAUCUAAAGGGGAGGUCAUUUCCACAGUUAAAGCAGCCAGACAGAAAUCCCAUAACUCCUGAUUCCACAGGUUGAGCAAUGUCUCUUUCCCGUUUUUGUAAAACUCUUACAAACUCAUCUGCGCUUAAAUGCCCGUCGCCAUUUGAGUCAAACACAUGGAAAACGAUAUCAAUCACAUUGUCCGUGAGGGUGAUGCCACAAACCUGAUAUUUACCAAAUUAAUCAUCAGACUACUUAGAAACUAAAUGUUCUUAAAGCAUAAAAAUAUCUACUUAUUUCUCAGAAGAUUUUCACAACAAUUAUAAGAACAAGUGUAUCAUUUGCAAUAUUAUCAACUGAACAUCAGCCUCAACCUAAUUAGGAUUUGUUGGAUCAAUUUUUUUAAAGCCAUUUAACUCUAUUAAGGGAAAAAAUCUCCAUGAUAAACAAAUUUAUUUAAUCUAACGACAGAAAAGCCUCUCCACCUGAUUAUUUCCCAUUGAAGUUACAUUAAUUAAAUGAACCCAUAUGAGCCCUCGAAAUAGUGGAACCUGAUUACGCCCAUUUUAACAAUUCUCCACAUGAAUAUCCAUAACAGAUCUCAACAUGCGCAUAUAAACAGAAAACGAAUAUGCUACAUCAUAAAGCAAGGCCAAGCAUCUUACAUAGGAUGCAGCUCUUUGAAAGUCCUCCUUUGUUAACAGGCCAUUUACUUUCCCAUAACUAAAGAGGGCCAAAGAAAAUGGCCGCAACUUUCUACGCAAUUCUGCAAAAUUUUUAAACUCCUCAAAUGUUAUUCGAAUGUCCUUGAGGCGUGCCUCAUUAUUUAAUUCAUCAACCCGAUCGAGUAACUUAUCCAAGUGACUCAAGUCAGCAGAAGCAACCAUGGACAAUGCAAAAUCCUUAGCUGAUAUGGUUUUUUGUAAUUUAUAGUCAUAGUGUGCAAAUUCCAAUCUCAAAAUCUGCAAAAGACAGCAAGAGUAAUCAUAUAAGAAUAUUCCUGUUAGCACUAAAUUCAGCUAAAGCCCCAAAAAUAAGAUUUUAAACUGCUACACAUCACAAAGAGUGUAACAUGCAAAUCAAAUGCAUGGAUGCCCAGCCAUACCAUAAGUGAAAACAAUCAUUUCAACUUGAUUGAACGUGAUAUCAAUUGUCAUAGGCCUAUCCCCGCCCCUGCACGAGUUGUGUGCAUCUAGAGGGGUUGGGAGAGAAGGCUACUUUCCUGCUGACCUAGUCAAACCUGACACAUGAACAAGGUUAUCAUGAACGUGAUGCAACAUACUUUUCAUACAAUCUGAAAUUCCCAAAGAACAAAAUAUUCAGCAGAAGAGAGAGAGGAAGAAUAAGAAGAAGAGAAAAAGCUUGCAAAUGUAUUUUGCUUGAUAGCCAAUUACCUAUCUUAGAGCUAUCCAAAUCCACCCUAUUCCUUCACCAUUUUAACAACCAUUAUCAUAUUCAUUGCAAUUAUUUGACCACUGUCCAAUGUAGAAGUAUGCCUAGUACAGUAAAAAUAAAGGAACUCACAAGAAAUUAGACACAAGUCUUCUUUUCUAAUAUAAUCUAAAUUCCUUGAGACAGACUGACAAUCUCUAUCCGUGUAUGUCAUUACAAGUGACAAUCAGACUAAUUUAAACAUCUAGGGAAUAAUUUCAGCUGACUAAAAACUGACAUUAUAUAUCUUUAUGGCAUUCCAACUUUGGCACUAUAGUCGAUCAGUUAUGGGCUAGAGCCCCAGGUUUGAAAACACAAUCCUGGUGGCAUCAAGUGACAACAUUCAAGUUCUACUUCUAAAUACUACUGCUAAGCUAUCUAAUGUUGCAUUAAUGUCAACUCACAUAAAAGCAGGGCCUUUUAUUGGUUCUAGAUUCCUAUUUCUUGCUCAAUUUUAUUCAGUUGACCACAGGUUUACCCAAACUUAAGAAUGCCACAUACAACAACCAUUGCACUUUGUUAUGGUGCACCUGCAAUAUCACAACAAUAAGAUCACAUUGGAUUCACACCAUGUUAAAAAAAAAAAAGCACAAUAAUAAAUAUGUCUCGCACAACUCUUUAGUUUUGGGUCAAUAUAGGAGAGGUAAAGGUUUACCUCAUGAUGCAAAUCCUUCAAAAACUGGACAAACUUAUCAUGAUGGAGGCGUCCAUUUCCAUCUUUGUCAAAGAAGUACUCCACCACACCUCCAUUUUCCACAGUGCCACUAACUUUCAACCCUGUUCGAAGUCCAUUCUUGUGGACAGCCCCUUGUCUGUUGUGAGCUCGCAUCAAGGCCAUCACUUUCUUAAACUCUUCCUUACUGAUCUCCCCAUUGCUGUUAAUGUCAAACAUUUUGAAAGCCACAGAAAAGCUUGAUUCUGGAAUACUAAGUAAUGUUACAAAAAAGAUAUACUCCUUGAAUGAUAUAAGCCCAUCAGUGUCCAGAUCAAAUAGCUUAAACAAAUCGGAUGGAGGACAUCUUAGCUCGCCAGGCCUCCUUUCCCCACUCAAAUAUCCUUCUCUAACAAGGUGGGAUUCAGAAGGAGGGAAAACAGGAACAACGGCCCGCAUCAAAUCUGCUGGUUUCAUUAGUAACUCUCCAUCUGCUGCUUGGAAAGAUGCAAAGUACUCAAAAACCUUCUCAGGAGGACUUCGCAGCCUUAUCCUCUUCUCGUAUUUAAAGAAAACCUUUCUCCUAUACGCAUCUCCAAAGAGAAACUUUGAGCUAUAGUACGGCAACGAAAGUUUGCCAAAUGUAGAAGUAGAACACGGAUUCCCCACCGUCGAUCCAGCCGCGGUGGCCGUUGUUGGCCAGUCGGCGAAACUCAAUAGCGAUCUCUUGAAGAAUAGAGACUGAGAAUCACUGGUAGAAUUUGAUAACCAGUAAAACAAACCUAUGGUGGAGCCCACUGCGAUCCCCGAAAACCAUCUCUUGAAGGAUCCAUGAGCGUGAUUGUCGUUUUCAUCAUUACUCUUGCGUGCGGAGGCGUAGAUCACAGACAACGAAGACAUAGAGGAUGGUCCUGUAUUGGAGUACUGGCGAGAUUGGAGCCAUUGGAUAAGGUAGAGUUGAUGGAUAGACGGUCGAGAUCUUUUAAGAGAUGACAAGGCAGGCAUGGCGAAGACUUGGAAACAGAUAAACAGAAGAUCGAAGAAGCGAGAUUUGUGAAUAUGAUUUUCCCAUUCGA
This 3597-nucleotide unclassified non-coding RNA is filed under the name Hevea brasiliensis (rubber tree). Lineage: Eukaryota; Viridiplantae; Streptophyta; Magnoliopsida; Malpighiales; Euphorbiaceae. The record is from RNAcentral.